AGUGAACGCUGGCGGUAGGCCUAACACAUGCAAGUCGAACGGCAGCACAGGAGAGCUUGCUCUCUGGGUGGCGAGUGGCGGACGGGUGAGGAAUACAUCGGAAUCUACUCUGUCGUGGGGGAUAACGUAGGGAAACUUACGCUAAUACCGCAUACGACCUACGGGUGAAAGCAGGGGACCUUCGGGCCUUGCGCGAUUGAAUGAGCCGAUGUCGGAUUAGCUAGUUGGCGGGGUAAAGGCCCACCAAGGCGACGAUCCGUAGCUGGUCUGAGGGGAUGAUCAGCCACACUGGAACUGAGACACGGUCCAGACUCCUACGGGAGGAAGCAGUAGGGAAUAUUGGACAAUGGGCGCAAGCCUGAUCCAGCCAUACCGCGUGGGUGAAGAAGGCCUUCGGGUUGUAAAGCCCUUUUGUUGGGAAAGAAAUCCAGCUGGCUAAUACCCGGUUGGGAUGACGGUACCCAAAGAAUAAGCACCGGCUAACUUCGUGCCAGCCGCCGCAGUAA
Molecule: ribosomal RNA, 506 nt
Filed under: uncultured bacterium
Lineage: Bacteria
Description: partial 16S ribosomal RNA
Rfam family: Bacterial small subunit ribosomal RNA
Source: RNAcentral